Long non-coding RNA from Engraulis encrasicolus (European anchovy), 2303 nucleotides. RefSeq lists it as uncharacterized. The transcript is spliced from 3 exons. NCBI's taxonomy places the organism in Eukaryota, Metazoa, Chordata, Actinopteri, Clupeiformes, Engraulidae. The record is from RefSeq and is a predicted model, not a curated record.
CCUGAAGCCGUUGACGGCCGCGGACGAGCAUGGCUGCUCUACAUCCGGGGUUUCGCCGUCACUUCAUUUUGCUCAAAGGGUCCUGUGCAGCAACGGGGACGCCAUUGAGUGUCGUUGGCGUGUCGACCACUUCCCAGGUUCUAGCAGAUUGUUGGUGGAGACCGCUACAGCAGGCUCGUGCAGACUGGUGGUGUUGGUGGGGACCGCUACAGCCAUCGGAAGGGAUUUGGCAGGAGGUGGAGCCUUCUUUGCUUGACUUUUACUGCCAAGGGCUUCUGAUGUCCUGGCCCGGAACAGCUGCUCAACGUGCUGCAGUAAAGAGAAUACAUCCGCAGAUGGCUGGUGAAGUGCGCCCUCUCUGUACUCCUUCAUCUGCAGCAGUGUGGCGUUGUCCGGUACAGCGUCGUCACUGUUCCUUAAGGCAGGCUUACAGGCCGAACACAAAGAGCCGCCUAGUACACCCUUGAUGACGUAUCCGGCCAGAUGGUAUAGCACACAGGACUCCGCUUUUGUGAGUGCAUUUGGUGGAUGGGUGGCUGGUGGUGGUGGUGUGUCUACCAAGUGCUAGAAUCAUAGCUGUCAUCUGUUGUAAUUAUUCACUUGGUCAUAAUGAUACCACAGAUUCAUUGAAAAUCACUUCUUUCAAUCAGCAGUGACUGGCUGUGAAAUAUUUAACCGUCCAGAUCCAGUUCAACAUUUGACUAAUAUCACUGUUUUUGUCUUUUGUAUUCCCAUUGAGUUGUGUUACAGGUGGAAAUGAUUCUGCUCCUACUGCAUGAGACUGCUGCUGUUGAUGGGGAAGUGCUUUUGCCAGAAAUGGCUUAGUUGCAGGUGGUGGCUUUCUUGAGUUGCACUGAUAAGGUAACCUAACUAACCUUUUGAGGACCCUUACAGUAAGUAAUAUUAUAUCUGUGUCUAACAUUUUGUAUUUCCGGUGAUUGAGGUCUUUAGCUGCAAAAUGUAUAGGACUUUGGUCAGACUAGUAGGGCCGGAUAUAUGUGCACAGCAACAUAGUUGUCUUUUUUUUGUUUCUAUACGCCAUCCCAAUGGAAUUCAAAUGAAACUACGGUAACAAGAGAAUAAAAGUGCCUUUCAAAACAUUCAAGGAUCAGAGAGAAGUAAUAAUAAAACGAAGACACAUUAACACAUUUUUAACAAAAAUAAAACGGUAGUUAAAAAGUCCUAAGGAAUAGGCUAACUGAAACAAAUGAGUUUUUAGUCUGCAUUUGAACUUGGGUAAUAAGUCAGGGGGCAGUGCAUUCCAGAGCUGAGGAGCAGAGCAACUGAAAAGCUCUAUUCCCCAUGGUACUGAGAUGGGCAGAGGGACAGAGAGGAGGAUGGUCGAGGACAAACCGAGGUAGCGAGAGGGAAUGGCAAGGCAAGAUUGUUGCAAGAUUGUGAAUGGCCUGGAAGGUGUGCAGGACAGGAGUAUUUUAAGAAGCACAGGGUAUUGAGCACUCAGAGACAUAGCCAAGGUAAGAAUGGAAGACGCCGAACAACCAUUCAACAAGUUAAUUGAGUCAAGACUGGGUCAUGAAAUACCAGAGGACAGUUUUCAAAGGUAUGGACUAGUGAAAGUGACUGUUGACAGACAGGGUGUCAAGACAAUGGUAUUUGUGUCGUAUUCGUGGGUAAGCGGUUAGGGUGUCAGACUUGUAGCCCAAAGGAUGCUGGUUCGACUCCGACCCGCCAGGUUGGUGCGGGGAGUAAUUAACCAGUGCUCUCCCCCAUCCUCCUCCCUGACUGAGGUACCCUGAUCAUGGUACCGUCCCGCCACACUGCGCCAUUGGGGACUGCCCCCUUGCAUGGAUGAGGCAGAAAUGCAAUUUUCUAGUGUGCAGUGUUCACUUGAAUUUUGUGGAGUACUGUGUCACAGUGAAUUUAAAUGUAUUACUUUAAUAAAUGUUAAUGACAAGUAGGAAUGGGCAGCAUAGUGGCAAUGCCUAGUCUUGCCACCCUUGUAAGAUCAGAUAACUAACUUUUAGUGUCUGUUUUCACCCUUGUAAGAUCAGAUAACUAACUUUUAGUGUCUGUUUUCACAGAAAUUUGUCUAGCGUGACACUUCUCCACAAUCCACAUGUAAACAGGCAUUUAAAAACAAUAUGGCCAUUGGUCUUGUCCUCUAGGUCCUCUAGGCCCAAGCUGUUAGGGCAGCACAGUACAAUAAAUUAAGUUGCCAAAAAAAAAACUUAAAAUAUUCCUCUGUGGUAUUAAAAAAAAUAUGCUUUCCAUGUAGAUGUGUGCAUUCUACUGUUCUCCACUUCUGUGAAGCAAUACUAUAGGAUGAGGGUGAAAAUGGUGUU